UACGUAGGGGGCUAGCGUUGUCCGGAAUCAUUGGGCGUAAAGAGCGCGUAGGCGGCUAGAUAAGUCCGGUGUGAAAGUCACAGGCUCAACCUGUGAAUGCCGCGGGAAACUGUCUGGCUAGAGUCCGGAAGGGGCGAGUGGAAUUCCUGGUGUAGCGGUGAAAUGCGCAGAUAUCAGGAGGAACACCAAUGGCGAAGGCAGCUCGCUGGGACGGUACUGACGCUGAGGCGCGAAAGCGUGGGGAGCAAACAGG
Molecule: ribosomal RNA, 253 nt
Filed under: uncultured bacterium
Lineage: Bacteria
Description: partial 16S ribosomal RNA
Rfam family: Bacterial small subunit ribosomal RNA
Source: RNAcentral